Long non-coding RNA from Lates calcarifer (barramundi perch), 182 nucleotides. RefSeq lists it as uncharacterized. NCBI's taxonomy places the organism in Eukaryota, Metazoa, Chordata, Actinopteri, Centropomidae. The transcript has 4 exons. The record is from RefSeq and is a predicted model, not a curated record.
AGGUGAUGUUUCUGUCUAUGAUACAAUCAGAGACUCUGGAGAUGCUGAACAUGGUGAUGCUGCCCUCUAUGAUUCAAUCAGAGACUCUGCUGAAAAUGGUGCAGGUGAAUCCAUGGAUGUCACAUACUCUGUCAUUGAACUUAAAAACACCGGGAAGAAGGGGAAGCGCUGUGAACCAGGGG